Molecule: ribosomal RNA, 253 nt
Filed under: uncultured bacterium
Lineage: Bacteria
Description: partial 16S ribosomal RNA
Rfam family: Bacterial small subunit ribosomal RNA
Source: RNAcentral
UACGAAGGGGGCUAGCGUUGUUCGGAAUUACUGGGCGUAAAGGGCUCGUAGGUGGCCAACUAAGUCGGACGUGAAAUCCCUCAGCUUAACUGGGGAACUGCGUCCGAUACUGGAUGGCUUGAGUUUGGGAGAGGGAUGCGGAAUUCCAGGUGUAGCGGUGAAAUGCGUAGAUAUCUGGAGGAACACCGGUGGCGAAGGCGGCAUCCUGGACCAACACUGACACUGAGGAGCGAAAGCCAGGGGAGCAAACGGG